GACGGAUGAGAUCGAUCGCGAUGGAUAGCUCAGAUCAAGUAGGAUGGGUAUAAAUAUCUCGCAUCACACGGGAAUCCAAACCCUAUCCGCCAGCCCCCGUCAAAGAAGAAAAGCCAGACGUUGGAGAAGGAGGUCAACUGUCGACCGCGAAAAGUGGUAAAAAUUUCUCCUACCCACUCAGAAUUUUAUUCUGAGCACCCCCAUGUUCACAUCAGAGCAAAAG
Molecule: long non-coding RNA, 223 nt
Filed under: Carica papaya (papaya)
Lineage: Eukaryota; Viridiplantae; Streptophyta; Magnoliopsida; Brassicales; Caricaceae
Description: long non-coding RNA (CPAP_LNC007554)
Source: RNAcentral